AGUGAACGCUGGCGGUAGGCCUAACACAUGCAAGUCGAACGGCAGCACAGUAAGAGCUUGCUCUUACGGGUGGCGAGUGGCGGACGGGUGAGGAAUACAUCGGAAUCUACUUUUUCGUGGGGGAUAACGUAGGGAAACUUACGCUAAUACCGCAUACGACCUACGGGUGAAAGCAGGGGAUCUUCGGACCUUGCGCGAUUGAAUGAGCCGAUGUCGGAUUAGCUAGUUGGCGGGGUAAAGGCCCACCAAGGCGACGAUCCGUAGCUGGUCUGAGAGGAUGAUCAGCCACACUGGAACUGAGACACGGUCCAGACUCCUACGGGAGGCAGCAGUGGGGAAUAUUGGACAAUGGGCGCAAGCCUGAUCCCCAUACCGCGUGGGUGAAGAAGGCCUUCGGGUUGUAAAGCCCUUUUGUUGGGAAAGAAAAGCAGCAGGUUAAUACCCCGCUGUUCUGACGGUACCCAAAGAAUAAGCACCGGCUAACUUCGUG
Molecule: ribosomal RNA, 490 nt
Filed under: uncultured bacterium
Lineage: Bacteria
Description: partial 16S ribosomal RNA
Rfam family: Bacterial small subunit ribosomal RNA
Source: RNAcentral